Molecule: ribosomal RNA, 458 nt
Filed under: uncultured Lactobacillus sp.
Lineage: Bacteria; Bacillati; Bacillota; Bacilli; Lactobacillales; Lactobacillaceae
Description: partial 16S ribosomal RNA
Rfam family: Bacterial small subunit ribosomal RNA
Source: RNAcentral
ACGGAAGGCAGCAGUAGGGAAUCUUCCUCAAUGGACGCAAGUCUGAUGGAGCAACGCCGCGUGAAUGAAGAAGGCCUUCGGGUCGUAAAAUUCUGUUGUUAGAGAAGAACAUGCAGGAGAGUAACUGUUCUUGUAUUGACGGUAUCUAACCAGAAAGCCACGGCUAACUACGUGCCAGCAGCCGCGGUAAUACGAAGGGGGCAAGCGUUGUCCGGAUUUAUUGGGCGUAAAGGGAACGCAGGCGGUUUUUUAAGUCUGAGGUGAAAGCAUUCGGCUCAACCGAAGAAUUGCAUUGGAAACGGGAAGACUUGAGGGCAGAAGAGGAGAGUGGAACUCCAGGUGUAGCGGUGGAAUGCGUAGAUAUAUGGAAGAACACCAGUGGCGAAGGCGGCUCUCUGGUCUGUAAUUGACGCUGAGGUUAGAAAGCGUGGGUAGCAAACAGGAUUAGAUACCCUGUA